This 63-nucleotide transfer RNA is filed under the name uncultured Ruminococcus sp. It matches the Rfam family "tRNA", at positions 6 to 65 of the family's 71-position model. From Rfam's summary of the family: Transfer RNA (tRNA) molecules are approximately 80 nucleotides in length. The record is from RNAcentral. Lineage: Bacteria; Bacillati; Bacillota; Clostridia; Eubacteriales; Oscillospiraceae.
CGUAGCUCAGUUGGAUAGAGCGACCGCCUCCUAAGCGGUAGGUCGGGGGUUCAAAUCCCUUCG